AGAGUUUGAUCCUGGCUCAGGAUGAACGCUAGCGGCAGGCUUAACACAUGCAAGUCGAGGGGUAUAGGUUUUCGGACCUAGAGACCGGCGCACGGGUGCGUAACGCGUAUGCAAUCUACCUUUCACAGAGGGAUAGCCCAGAGAAAUUUGGAUUAAUACCUCAUAGUAUAACACAACCGCAUGGUUGAGUUAUUAAAGUUCCAACGGUGAAAGAUGAGCAUGCGUCCCAUUAGCUAGAUGGUAAGGUAACGGCUUACCAUGGCCACGAUGGGUAGGGGUCCUGAGAGGGAGAUCCCCCACACUGGUACUGAGACACGGACCAGACUCCUACGGGAGGCAGCAGUGAGGAAUAUUGGUCAAUGGACGCAAGUCUGAACCAGCCAUGCCGCGUGCAGGAUGGCGGUCCUAUGGAUUGUAAACUGCUUUUGUACGAGAAGAAACACUCCUUCGUGAAGGAGCUUGACGGUAUCGUAAGAAUAAGGAUCGGCUAACUCCGUGCCAGCAGCCGCGGUAAUACGGAGGAUCCAAGCGUUAUCCGGAAUCAUUGGGUUUAAAGGGUCCGUAGGCGGUUUAGUAAGUCAGUGGUGAAAGCCCAUCGCUCAACGGUGGAACGGCCAUUGAUACUGCUAGACUUGAAUUAUUAGGAAGUAACUAGAAUAUGUAGUGUAGCGGUGAAAUGCUUAGAGAUUACAUGGAAUACCAAUUGCGAAGGCAGGUUACUACUAAUUGAUUGACGCUGAUGGACGAAAGCGUGGGGAGCGAACAGGAUUAGAUACCCUGGUAGUCCACGCCGUAAACGAUGGAUACUAGCUGUUGGGGGCAACUUCAGUGGCUAAGCGAAAGUGAUAAGUAUCCCACCUGGGGAGUACGAACGCAAGUUUGAAACUCAAAGGAAUUGACG
This 901-nucleotide ribosomal RNA is filed under the name uncultured bacterium. Its description in RNAcentral is "bacterial SSU rRNA". It matches the Rfam family "Bacterial small subunit ribosomal RNA", at positions 8 to 915 of the family's 1533-position model. The record is from RNAcentral.